This 260-nucleotide unclassified non-coding RNA is filed under the name air metagenome. RNAcentral describes it as "partial contains small subunit ribosomal RNA, internal transcribed spacer 1, and 5.8S ribosomal RNA". The stretch from base 1 to 46 matches the Rfam family "Eukaryotic small subunit ribosomal RNA", at positions 1786 to 1831 of the family's 1831-position model. The record is from RNAcentral.
AAGUCGUAACAAGGUUUCCGUAGGUGAACCUGCGGAAGGAUCAUUACUGAGAUAGGGUCCUUCGGGGCCCGACCUCCAACCCUUUGUCUACCUUACCACUGUUGCCUCGGCGGGUCGCCGGCGUCUCUUGCGGGACGCCGCCGUCGGCCUCUGCGCUCUCGAGUGCCCGCCGCCAGGCCCUUCUAAACCCUUUUUAAACAUAGCAAUCUGAGAGUAUAUUUAAUACUUCAAAACUUUCAACAACGGAUCUCUUGGUUCUG